Molecule: ribosomal RNA, 127 nt
Filed under: Thermus scotoductus
Lineage: Bacteria; Thermotogati; Deinococcota; Deinococci; Thermales; Thermaceae
Description: partial 16S ribosomal RNA
Rfam family: Bacterial small subunit ribosomal RNA
Source: RNAcentral
GGGUAGUCCACGCCCUAAACGAUGCGCGCUAGGUCUCUGGGUUUAUCUGGGGGCCGAAGCCAACGCGUUAAGCGCGCCGCCUGGGGAGUACGGCCGCAAGGCUGAAACUCAAAGGGGAGGACGGGGG